UUCGGGAUAAGGAUUGGCUCUAAGGACUGGGCCGGUCGGGCUGUAAUGUGAAGUGAGUACGGUUUGAUCCAUGCAGUGUAACAUUAAUGAAUCAUGUAUUCAUUGAUGAAACUCGGCUAGUGUUCGAACUGUCUUAUGGACCGUUACAGCUGCGUAUCACAUUUACUUUUAACCAAAGUGAAUGUUUAUUUGAUACUUCGGCCGGCGUUAAACAGUCAACUUAGAACUGGCACGGACUCGGGGAAUCCGACUGUCUAAUUAAAACAGAGGAGACAGAUGGCCCUUGCGGGCGUUGACUGUCUCUGAUUUCUGCCCAGUGCUCUGAAUGUAAAAGUGAAGAAAUUCAACCAAGCGCGGGUAAACGGCGGGAGUAACUAUGACUCUCUUAAGGUAGCCAAAUGCCUCGUCAUCUAAU
Molecule: ribosomal RNA, 415 nt
Filed under: Dipetalonema graciliformis
Lineage: Eukaryota; Metazoa; Nematoda; Chromadorea; Rhabditida; Onchocercidae
Description: partial large subunit ribosomal RNA
Rfam family: Eukaryotic large subunit ribosomal RNA
Source: RNAcentral